Paramuricea clavata is the source of this 614-nucleotide non-coding RNA. Lineage: Eukaryota; Metazoa; Cnidaria; Anthozoa; Malacalcyonacea; Plexauridae. The record is from the annotation of a GenBank genome assembly.
GAGUUGUGUGCUUGAUUUACACAGUAAAAUUCAAGUUGUAAACAGGUUGCAUACUCGCAUGUGACAGUUUUAGGCAAAAGUUGAGUGAUGAAUAAUUGCUGUUUCUGCUGGGAGAAAACCUCUUUAAUUAAGUUCCCAAAUUUGUUAGGGUAUGAAUGAGACAGUGGUACAAGGCUCAUAUUGACUUAACUGUGACUCAAAUAUUAUCAUACUUUCCACCUCAUGUGUUCAAGGUUCUGUGUAUACAAAUGCAAAGUGAAAAAGUAUCUAUUAAUAUUAAGGUAAUUCCGCAGUAAUUGUUCCCGAAAUGAGAAUGUGCUGAAACUUCCCAGGCAUGGAGUUUAUGAUAUACUUAAAGUAAAAUCACACAAAAAAGUCGGGCUCACCGAACUCGUUAAGAUGAUGACAAUCAUAAUAUAUACCACCUUUACCCCAAUAUGGCACCAUCUUGACGCUCAUUAAUACGAGUAACAGUAAAAUCACAACAGCCCGAUAUUUAUUGACGUUUUUAGCGCGGAUUUUGCUUUUGUUAACUUAUCUUGUAAUUAUUUUUGAAAAAAUAUUGUGUUUUGAGCAAAAUGAAACUACUAACGUGUACAAUUCUGAUCUAUAAA